CAAUAGCGUAUAUUAAAGUUGUUGCAGUUAAAAAGCUCGUAGUUGGAUUUGUGGCGUACGGUGUGUUCCGGGCACUUGUUGCCUGAGUAACCUGCUGUUGCCAUCCUUGGGUGGAACCUGUGUGGCAUUAGGUUGUCGUGCAGGGGAUGCCCAUCAUUUACUGUGAAAAAAUUAGAGUGUUCAAAGCAGGCUUAUGCCGUUGAAUAUAUUAGCAUGGAAUAAUGAGAUAGGACUUUUUUGCUAUUUUGUUGGUUUGCGCAAGAAGGUAAUGAUUAAUAGGGACAGUUGGGGGUAUUCGUAUUCCAUUGUCAGAGGUGAAAUUCUUGGAUUUUUGGAAGACGAACUACUGCGAAAGCAUUUACCAAGGAUGUUUUCAUUAA
Molecule: ribosomal RNA, 380 nt
Filed under: uncultured eukaryote
Lineage: Eukaryota
Description: partial 18S ribosomal RNA
Rfam family: Eukaryotic small subunit ribosomal RNA
Source: RNAcentral